GACGAACGCUGGCGGCGUGCUUAACACAUGCAAGUCGAACGGUGAAGCGCCUUCCUUUUUGGUGGGUGUGGAUGAGUGGCGAACGGGUGAGUAACACGUGAGUAACCUGCCCCCUUCUUCUGGAUAACCGCAUGAAAGUGUGGCUAAUACGGGAUAUUCUGGGUCUGUCGCAUGAUGGGUCUGGGAAAGAUAUUGUUUCGGUGGGGGAUGGGCUCGCGGCCUAUCAGCUUGUUGGUGGGGUGAUGGCCUACCAAGGCGGUGACGGGUAGCCGGCCUGAGAGGGUGGACGGUCACACUGGGACUGAGACACGGCCCAGACUCCUACGGGAGGCAGCAGUGGGGAAUAUUGCACAAUGGGCGCAAGCCUGAUGCAGCGACGCCGCGUGAGGGAUGGAGGCCUUCGGGUUGUGAACCUCUUUCGCCAGUGAAGCAGACCUGCCUCGUUUGUGGGUGGGUUGACGGUAGCUGGAUAAGAAGCGCCGGCUAACUACGUG
This 494-nucleotide ribosomal RNA is filed under the name uncultured bacterium. RNAcentral's name for it is "partial 16S ribosomal RNA". It matches the Rfam family "Bacterial small subunit ribosomal RNA", at positions 28 to 507 of the family's 1533-position model. The record is from RNAcentral.